UAGUCUUUGACUGAGCAGAAGGUUGGAAGUCAGGAGUCUGCCAUAUUUCUGUCUCAGGAGGAGUCUGGGACAGAGCAUGUGUGUCUGGGAGUGUGGGAACAGUGGGGCUAAGAGGAUUGCCUAGAUGACUGAGCUCAGGAGCUCGGAUGGGAGCUUGGCUUCAAAAUCCAGAGCCAGCUGGAAAGUCUAGCAGCUUUCUUGGGUGCCUGGGAUGACAGCCUGAAAGAAUUGAUUCACGGUUUCUUCCAUCAGCACGAAUUGGACGAAGGAGGCCAAUCUUGAGAAUUCUUUACCAAUCCCAGGUCGUCACCUCAUGAAAAGCUGAAAGACAUUGCCUGGAACACCUCUGUUCAGAGUGAAGAUGAUUGUGCUUUACAAGUUGCAGUGUGUUUGACUGCUUUCAGAGAAACACCACAAUUUGAUUCCAGAAAUAAAGAAUUUUAGAUGUUUUCCUUGGUAUUGACUACAGAAGCCACCCCAGUGGAAGCCGCCUGAGCACUUGCUGCCUUAGCUUGACAAGUUCCAGAGCCAAGCUUUGAGCCAUUCCAUCUGACAUUCCCACGUCUGACUGAGGCUGGGAUCUUGCCCGGGAUCUCCUCCAUGCCAUUCUGAUGUGGAAGGCAGAACUGCCUGCUCAAAAGGACUCAUCUUUCUGGAACAGCACCAAGCCUGGAGGCAGACUGGCUUUGCAGCCCUCAACAGGGGCUUCCGGCGGGGCCCGCCAUCCCUGCGGGAGUUCAGGUGCUUUUUGCUCAAUGUGAAAUCACAUUUUAUUCUCUCUAAUUACCAACUGGAUGAUAGAAGUUCUUUGGUUUCCGUUUGUUCAGCUCAG
Long non-coding RNA from Alexandromys fortis (reed vole), 832 nucleotides. RefSeq lists it as uncharacterized. The transcript has 3 exons. Lineage: Eukaryota; Metazoa; Chordata; Mammalia; Rodentia; Cricetidae. The record is from RefSeq and is a predicted model, not a curated record.